RNAcentral lists this ribosomal RNA (423 nucleotides) under uncultured bacterium. Its description in RNAcentral is "bacterial SSU rRNA". It matches the Rfam family "Bacterial small subunit ribosomal RNA", at positions 506 to 927 of the family's 1533-position model. The record is from RNAcentral.
GGCCAGCAGCCGCGGUAAUACGUAGGGUGCAAACAUUACCCGGAUUCACUGGGCGUAAAGAGUUCGUAGGCGGUUUUGUAAGUUGGAUAUUAAAUACCUCGGCUCAACCGAGGAAAAGUAUCCAAAACUGCAUAACUUGAGGCAUGCAAGGGAAGAUGGAACUUACGGUGUAGCAGUGAAAUGCGUAGAUAUCGUAAGGAACGCCAAUGGUGAAGACAGUCUUCUGGGCAUAGCCUGACGCUGAGGAACGAAAGCGUGGGGAGCGAACGGGAUUAGAUACCCCGGUAGUCCACGCCGUAAACGAUGCAUACUAGGAGUUCGGAGAAUCGACCCUCUGGGCUUCGAAGCUAACGCGUUAAGUAUGCCGCCUGGGUAGUACGGCCGCAAGGCUAAAACUCAAAGGAAUUGACGGGGGCCCGCACA